CAGCAGCCGCGGGAAUACGAAUGGUGCAAGCGUUACUCGGAAUUACUGGGCGUAAAGCGUGCGUAGGUGGUGGUUUAAGUCCGUUGUGAAAGCCUUGGGCUCAACCUGGGAAUUGCAGUGGAUACUGGGUCACUAGAGUGUGGUAGAGGAUAGUGGAAUUUCCGGUGUAGCAGUGAAAUGCGUAGAGAUCGGAAGGAACAUCUGUGGCGAAGGCGACUAUCUGGGCCAACACUGACACUGAGGCACGAAAGCGUGGGGAGCAAACAGGAUUAGAUACCCCAGUAGUCCCUGUCUCUUAUAC
Molecule: ribosomal RNA, 301 nt
Filed under: uncultured bacterium
Lineage: Bacteria
Description: partial 16S ribosomal RNA
Rfam family: Bacterial small subunit ribosomal RNA
Source: RNAcentral